ACAGAAGGAGGCUAGAUAUCCAGUGAGUACCGAUAAUGAGAUUACCACCAAACAAAGGACUUCCAGAUAUGAUCAGGUGCCAUUAUAUCUCUUGUGGUUUUACUGCUGCAGUUUCGGCCGUAGACCAAAUGCUGUUUUGCUGUCUGAAGAGAUCUCAGCAAAGGGGCAGUAGUUAAAGAGGAACGAUUACAUUGUAAAAAGCCAUAAAACCUUCCAGGAUUCAGAGUCUCAGGGGAAAGCAGAAAGGAACCCAAGACGAAGUCACACAUUGUGGAUCCAUAGAGCCCGACAUCACUAGACUGUGUUGCCAAGAUGGCAUGGCUCAGGCAUCACUACUGGAAGUGCUGGCACUUACCUCUGGGAAAUCAGUGGGACUCACUGUGGAGCAAAGCAUUGUCAGCAAGUGCUGCUUCACAGAUCUGCCUGUUUGAGUUAUAGAAGGAUGCCAGGACCACGCUGUCCUUCAUUACGUGAUGGAGACUCGGUUGCUCUUACAGAAACUCUGAAUCCUGCUGGCUGCUGUAAAGAAAUGAGAAGGAAGUUUCAGUCUUCCAGUUGGAGAGGAGUGACACAGAUGUUUAAGACGCAAGCAGCUUAGAUGUAACACAUUGUAAUAAAGUGUUGCCGUGCUAGGCAAAUGUAUGAGAAUGAUGAAUUCAGUAGUACGCGAGAAGAGGUCAGAUGCUGCAUUGAGUAUCUUCCGUGAGCGAGGAAAUGCUGAACUUCAGCUCAGUAUAUCACUGCUGAAGCUGUGCCCGGCCAUGGGAGAUGACAAGCAGUUGCUACCAGCCAAGCUUUAAAUUAGGAGAGAAGAACCUUUUUCAUUACAUUCCAAAGAAUUGUGAAAGAUGUGGAAAUCACUGCUUGGAAAACUGUACUUCUACAGGGAGCUGAGUGAAGUCCUACUGAUUCUCACUGCAAUGAAGUACUCAGGACACUUUUUUUGAGCCCACCACUACAGUCAUCACAAAGACAACACUUAGUCCAAGAAGAUUCUAGGCCUUCUUCAGAAGGUGCUGCUAAUUCCCCUAUUUUCUUCCAGAAAUGGGAAAAAUGAUCUAUAUUAGGAAAUGCGUUCUUCCUUUCUUCAUAUUUUGAAUUACGGCGCUAGGAAAAUAUUUCUCAAGUGGUUAACUUGAGUUUGACUUCCAACAUCUCUUUAUUUGGGAAGAAAUGAAUUCAAUGGUUCUUUUUAGCACUUGUGAAAAUGAAGGAUAGUUGUGCCUGCACUACAAGAAAGGUGAUUUAGUCGCUCUACUUGAUCAGUACUUUUUGAGGGAGACUUGCCAAAUUCAUCGGUGCUGAUCUGGAAGCCAAAAUAGAUAUCCAUGUGUUUUGAAGAGCGGAAAUGCUGGAACGCAGCUGGAAAGCGGCUCAGGGCUCCUGCCAGUCAUACCGGCUCACCACUAAGAGUUUAUCUACACUGUACGAGAAAGCUUCUUCAGACCCAGGCGGUUUCUGCUUUAUUUCAUGAUCAAGUGCUGCCUGCAAACUCUGGAAGUGAAGCCAUG
This 1511-nucleotide long non-coding RNA is filed under the name Gallus gallus (chicken). The record is from RNAcentral. Lineage: Eukaryota; Metazoa; Chordata; Aves; Galliformes; Phasianidae.